This 932-nucleotide ribosomal RNA is filed under the name Dinemasporium pseudostrigosum. Its description in RNAcentral is "eukaryotic LSU rRNA". It matches the Rfam family "Eukaryotic large subunit ribosomal RNA", at positions 1 to 964 of the family's 3401-position model. The record is from RNAcentral. Lineage: Eukaryota; Fungi; Ascomycota; Sordariomycetes; Chaetosphaeriales; Chaetosphaeriaceae.
UUGACCUCGGAUCAGGUAGGAAUACCCGCUGAACUUAAGCAUAUCAAUAAGCGGAGGAAAAGAAACCAACAGGGAUUGCCCCAGUAACGGCGAGUGAAGCGGCAACAGCUCAAAUUUGAAAUCUGGCCCCCAGGGUCCGAGUUGUAAUUUGCAGAGGAUGCUUCGGGUGCGGCGUCGACCAAGUCCCCUGGAACGGGGCGCCAUAGAGGGUGAGAGCCCCGUCGGGUCGGUCGCCAAGCCUGUGUGAAGCUCCUUCGACGAGUCGAGUAGUUUGGGAAUGCUGCUCUAAACGGGAGGUAGACCCCUUCUAAAGCUAAAUAUUGGCCAGAGACCGAUAGCGCACAAGUAGAGUGAUCGAAAGAUGAAAAGCACUUUGAAAAGAGGGUUAAACAGUACGUGAAAUUGUUGAAAGGGAAGCGCUUGUGACCAGACGUGCGCCGGGUGUUCAGCGGGCGUUCUCGCCCGUGUACUCGCCCCGGCGCAGGCCAGCGUCGGUUCGGAUGGGGGGACAAAGGCCCCGGGAAUGUGGCUCCUCCGGGAGUGUUAUAGCCCGGGGCGUCAUGCCCCCGCCCGGACCGAGGUUCGCGCUCUGCAAGGACGCUGGCGUAAUGGUCCCCAGCGGCCCGUCUUGAAACACGGACCAAGGAGUCGAGGUUUUGCGCGAGUGUUUGGGUGUCAAACCCGCACGCGUAAUGAAAGUGAACGCAGGUGGGAGCUUCGGCGCACCACCGACCGAUCCUGAUGUUCUCGGAUGGAUUUGAGUAGGAGCGUAGGGCCUCGGACCCGAAAGAUGGUGAACUAUACGUGGAUAGGGUGAAGCCAGAGGAAACUCUGGUGGAGGCUCGCAGCGGUUCUGACGUGCAAAUCGAUCGUCAAAUCUGCGUAUGGGGGCGAAAGACUAAUCGAACCAUCUAGUAGCUGGUUACCGCCGA